CUGCCCCUGUCAGGGGGACAACCCGCCGAAAGGCGGGCUAAACCCGCGUACAUGCCACCGGGGCAUCCCGGAGGCAGGAAAGGCUUCGGCCGGACAGGGAUGGGCAUGCGGCGCAUUAGGCAGUAGGCGGGGUAACGGCCCACCUAACCGACGAUGCGUAGGGGUUCUGAGAGGAAGGUCCCCCACACUGGUACUGAGACACGGACCAGACUCCUACGGGAGGCAGCAGUGAGGAAUAUUGGUCAAUGGUCGGGAGACUGAACCAGCCAAGCCGCGUGAGGGAUGAAGGUACAGAGUAUCGUAAACCUCUUUUGUCAGGGAACAAAGGCGGGGACGUGUCCCCGGAUGAGUGUACCUGAAGAAAAAGCAUCGGCUAACUCCGUGCCAGCAGCCGCGGUAAUACGGAGGAUGCGAGCGUUAUCCGGAUUUAUUGGGUUUAAGGGGUGCGCAGGCGGUCCGUUAAGUCAGCGGUCAAAGCCCGGGGCUCAACCCCGGCCCGCCGUUGAAACUGGCAGUCUCGAGUUGGAGAGAAGUAUGCGGAAUGCGCGGUGUAGCGGUGAAAUGCAUAGAUAUCGCGCAGAACUCCGAUUGCGAAGGCAGCAUGCCGGCUCCACACUGACGCUGAGGCACGAAAGCGUGGGUAUCGAACAGGAUUAGAUACCCUGGUAGUCCACGCAGUAAAC
This 683-nucleotide ribosomal RNA is filed under the name uncultured bacterium. RNAcentral's name for it is "bacterial SSU rRNA". It matches the Rfam family "Bacterial small subunit ribosomal RNA", at positions 126 to 807 of the family's 1533-position model. The record is from RNAcentral.